This 305-nucleotide ribosomal RNA is filed under the name uncultured bacterium. RNAcentral's name for it is "bacterial SSU rRNA". It matches the Rfam family "Bacterial small subunit ribosomal RNA", at positions 337 to 659 of the family's 1533-position model. The record is from RNAcentral.
GCCUACGGGGGGCAGCAGUGGGGAAUAUUGGGCAAUGGGCGCAAGCCUGACCCAGCAACGCCGCGUGAAGGAAGAAGGUCUUCGGAUUGUAAACUUUUGUCUUAUGGGACGAUAAUGACGGUACCAUAGGAGGAAGUCACGACUAACUACGUGCCAGCAGUCGCGGUAAUACGUAGGUGGCAAGCGUUAUCCGGAUUUACUGGGUGUAAAGGGCGUGUAGGCGGGAAAGCAAGUCAGAUGUGAAAACCAUGGGCUCAACCUGUGGCCUGCCUUUGAAACUGUUUUUCUUGAGUACUGGAGAGGCA